GUGCUUGCGUUGGCAGCACAUAUACAAAAAUUGGAACAAUACAGAGAAGAUUAGCAUGGCUCCUGUGCAAGGAUGACAUGUAAAUUCGUGAAGCAUUCCAUAUAUUU
This 107-nucleotide small nuclear RNA is filed under the name Jaculus jaculus (lesser Egyptian jerboa). Lineage: Eukaryota; Metazoa; Chordata; Mammalia; Rodentia; Dipodidae. The record is from RNAcentral.